AAGGAACUUUGUCAAGGAUAUAAAAGUAACCAUAUAUCAAAGUUGAAGUGCAGUUCUGGAUAUGGAUGAAAAGCAUCUGAUCUUACCAUUAUAUGUACCUUAUUACAUAUGAUAAACAAGAGAAUUGGGACCCAUCCAACUUGAAUCAGGGAAAAUGAAAACUUG
Molecule: long non-coding RNA, 165 nt
Organism: Trifolium pratense (red clover)
Lineage: Eukaryota; Viridiplantae; Streptophyta; Magnoliopsida; Fabales; Fabaceae
Exons: 3
Source: RefSeq, a predicted model, not a curated record